This 720-nucleotide ribosomal RNA is filed under the name Alphaproteobacteria bacterium SJ-31G. RNAcentral describes it as "bacterial SSU rRNA". It matches the Rfam family "Bacterial small subunit ribosomal RNA", at positions 116 to 873 of the family's 1533-position model. Lineage: Bacteria; Pseudomonadati; Pseudomonadota; Alphaproteobacteria. The record is from RNAcentral.
CGUGGGAAUGUACCUAGUGGUUUGGAACAACUCAUGGAAACGUGAGCUAAUACCGGAUAAGCCCGUAAGGGGAAAGAUUUAUCGCCAUUAGAUCAGCCCGCGUAAGAUUAGCUAGUUGGUAGGGUAAUGGCCUACCAAGGCGACGAUCUUUAGCUGUUCUGAGAGGAAGAUCAGCCACACUGGGACUGAGACACGGCCCAGACUCCUACGGGAGGCAGCAGUUGGGAAUCUUGGACAAUGGGCGCAAGCCUGAUCCAGCCAUGCCGCGUGAGUGAUGAAGGCCUUAGGGUUGUAAAGCUCUUUUACCCGGGAAGAUAAUGACUGUACCGGGAGAAUAAGCUCCGGCUAACUUCGUGCCAGCAGCCGCGGUAAUACGAAGGGGGCUAGCGUUGUUCGGAAUUACUGGGCGUAAAGCGCGCGCAGGCGGCUAUUCAAGUCGAGGGUGAAAGCCCAGAGCUCAACUCUGGAACUGCCUUCGAAACUGGAUAGCUUGAGUACGGGAGAGGUGAGUGGAAUUCCCAGUGUAGAGGUGAAAUUCGUAGAUAUUGGGAAGAACACCAGUGGCGAAGGCGGCUCACUGGCCCGUUACUGACGCUCAGGCGCGAUAGCGUGGGGAUCAAACAGGAUUAGAUACCCUGGUAGUCCACGCCGUAAACUAUGAAUGCUAGCCGUUGGGCAGCUCGCUGUUCAGUGGCGCAGCUAACGCAUUAAGCAUCCGCC